This 76-nucleotide transfer RNA is filed under the name Actinomycetota bacterium. RNAcentral's name for it is "Actinobacteria bacterium (hot springs metagenome) tRNA-Trp". It matches the Rfam family "tRNA". From Rfam's summary of the family: Transfer RNA (tRNA) molecules are approximately 80 nucleotides in length. Their secondary structure includes four short double-helical elements and three loops (D, anti-codon, and T loops). Lineage: Bacteria; Bacillati; Actinomycetota. The record is from RNAcentral.
AGGGCUGUAGCUCAGUUGGUAGAGCACCGGUCUCCAAAACCGGGAGUCGGGGGUUCGAGUCCCUCCAGCCCUGCCA